ACUGCAAUUGAUUCUUAGUGCAAAAGGUCGUUUUUUCUUCCCCUCAAUUGUGGGUUAAUUUUCAUCUUAGGAUUUUUGCUCAUAUGUUUGAUUUACAUCACUGAUCUGUUUAGUUUAGACCUUCCGAUUGAUUGCUAAGAUAUAAUAGCUUAAAUUGAACAUGGCCUUGCAGAUUACGAGUUUCAAAGCCGCUAAUUUGCUUUCCUGAACGCGUUAAUUUUAGAAUAUAGUUUAAAAUUUUGCAUUCAUUUAUAUUAAGAUCAUGGAAUAUCAACACGGAAAUAAUUGUGGUUUUUGAAGGUGGUGCUAUGAAUGAUUCG
This 320-nucleotide unclassified non-coding RNA is filed under the name Hevea brasiliensis (rubber tree). Lineage: Eukaryota; Viridiplantae; Streptophyta; Magnoliopsida; Malpighiales; Euphorbiaceae. The record is from RNAcentral.